Xenopus laevis (African clawed frog) is the source of this 4337-nucleotide RNA transcript. RefSeq lists it as uncharacterized. The transcript has 16 exons. The record is from RefSeq and is a predicted model, not a curated record. NCBI's taxonomy places the organism in Eukaryota, Metazoa, Chordata, Amphibia, Anura, Pipidae.
UCCAUGCAAGGGAGACCUAGGAACAGAUAAACACAUGACAGGAUGCAGGUAACUUAAAACUUGUUCUCCUUAAAAACAUUAUUCAGGCCACCAAUGCCAUUUUUUUGGAUAUACAAAGUAAUUUUUUUAUUUUCUUUCUUUCAGCUGUAAGUAAAAAGUUAGCGUACACACUGCACUAUGUUUGAAACAACAUACGGAGAUCAAAGAGAAACCUGGGACUGCUGGCUGAGCUGUCAAAAACAGAGCAGUCCUGCGACAAACAUGACAGUUGGGAGGAUGCAGUGUCACGGGGUCGUUGUUCAAGCUGCAGUUUAAGCAUCCCGUUUGGAAAUAAAAAUUGGCCUCUGCUGUUUAUCUUCCACUCUGACUUCUAGACUGCUGCUCGGUUGUUGGCAUGUUUGGCCAUACUGGUGUUUGUAUCCAGCAAAGCUCCUGUACAGAAAGAAAAGAAGUUGGAGGAUAUGGCACCAUCUUGGAUUUAAUUUGCCUGUAUGCUUCUUCGCCGGGUGCUAUAAAACAAUGUCAAUUGGAGACACGCAUCUUUCUUUUUCCUUUAGCCAUGAGGGGGCCCUCUGCGAGGAAGUGGGGCCACCCAUAGGUGCAUCCCUGGAUCCCACUAAGUGGAGACACUGCCAUGGAGAGACAUUCCCAGUACCUUUUCAUUGAGCAAAGGGGAUUCAGGAUCUGUGUAUGGGGAACAACUGAUGGAAUAUCCCAUUUAUCCAGAUGAGACAGUUACAUAUAUUUGGCAAGUGACUCAAGGAGAUGCCCCCAAUGUCAUCUGAUCCACGUUGUCUAACAAGACUGAACUCCAGCUCCCUUAAUCAACAGAAAGAUUUAUCAUCUGGGCCUUUUGGACCUGCAAGAUGGCGACUGUGAGCUCCGCUGAGCUUCUCUGCAUUUAUGGAUAACCUUUUCUAUGCUGGUGGUGCAACUGUUCUUCUUCUUAGUGAAAACCUCCCGAGGGCACAUCACCAGGUUUUGCCCUGUUCCCAGGAACCCCUUGCACCUCUCUGGGUGAACAAAUGCACAAGAGAAAAUAUUUUAGGGGCAUAUUAUACUGAAAAUGUGCUCACUUUAAAUCCAUGCAAGGGAGACCUAGGAACAGAUAAACACAUGACAGGAUGCAGGUAACUUAAAACUUGUUCUCCUUAAAAACAUUAUUCAGGCCACCAAUGCCAUUUUUUUGGAUAUACAAAGUAAUUUUUUUAUUUUCUUUCUUUCAGCUGUAAGUAAAAAGUUAGCGUACACACUGCACUAUGUUUGAAACAACAUACGGAGAUCAAAGAGAAACCUGGGACUGCUGGCUGAGCUGUCAAAAACAGAGCAGUCCUGCGACAAACAUGACAGUUGGGAGGAUGCAGUGUCACGGGGUCGUUGUUCAAGCUGCAGUUUAAGCAUCCCGUUUGGAAAUAAAAAUUGGAAAAGAAGUUGGAGGAUAUGGCACCAUCUUGGAUUUAAUUUGCCUGUAUGCUUCUUCGCCGGGUGCUAUAAAACAAUGUCAAUUGGAGACACGCAUCUUUCUUUUUCCUUUAGCCAUGAGGGGGCCCUCUGCGAGGAAGGUAUUUUCUGCCUGGGGGGAAUCGCUUAAUGCAUUUCCCCCUUUUAAACGCCGUGGAAGUCUCUCUUUGGACUCACUCUGCCUGUGUCUUGCUCAGUUCAUGGCCGACCACACCCCUGAGUCACAAUUUGCUUAUAUUGACUUGGGGGCACUCUAGAUGCAAUGGGCACUUAGUUAGAUUGGGUACCAACAGCUUCCACUUGGAAUUCAUUCCCUUCACUGAAUUGUAUGUUAUUUGUAUAACAUGGAAUUGCUACGAUACAUGGGUGUAUGUAGCCAUAGAUCCUACACAGGAGGUCAUAGCUAUUGUUGAGGCCCCAGAAACUAUUUUGCAACUACUACUACUACUGUUUUUUUCUGACAUGAAAGGGAUUAAAAUCUGUAUUAUUUGGGAAUGCAGUGCUGCUGGGAUUUUCUGACUCAGCAAGUUACAUCCACAGUGCUAAGUAUUGGGAAAUCAGAUGAGUUCAGAUUGAGCCUUUCUUUCCAACAUAUAAUGUAUUAUAGUCAUAUUAACAGUACAACAUAUCUUGAUGAUUUACUCUCUUUACAGAACCAGUGCCCCCUAUAUAGUUACACUAUUAAUGGAAGCUGUGGUUUUGCCAAUAAAUUAAUUUUAUACACAUCACCUCGCAUUAACUUAACACAUAGUUUAUAGUGUAUACGGGCAGUUGCAGAACUAAGGACCCCCUUUCCCUUCACUUAAUGUAAAAGUGGGAGACGGUGCAGAAUUUAGACUGCAGGCUAAGGGGGAAGGUUCUGGUGGGGUUACGGAUCCUUACCAGACCCCCUAAGACUAUGGGCCCCUUAGGAUAAUAGGGUUUUCUCCUUGUUGGUUACACCACUGUGUACAGGCUUACCCCCAUAUGUAAUAUAAGUCACUAAGUUUGCCGGGAGCAGUAACCCAUGGCAACCAAUAAGAUGCAUUUAAACAGGUGACUAGUAAAUUCUACCUGACGAUUGGUUGCUACAGGUUACUACCCCUGGGCAAACUUAGUGUAUUUUAUUACAUAACCCCAUUAGUGUUAGAAACCAGGUUUAUUGAUAAUUUGCUUCCCCCGAACAUUUUCUGAGGUUGCCCAUGCCUGCUGGUGGGUCACAAGUGUCAAAUCGUUUCUGCACCCUCUGUUAGCAGUGCCCCUGUAAAUGGGUUUCUGAUAUUGAUGUGACAAACCUGCUCUGUGACACGAUAGUCUUAGAGUGACCUAGACAAUGUUGUAUUGGCAAAAUUAUAGAUUGUAGGGUAGGGGAGAAGGUGCUGACAGUAGAAUUGACACCUGCUAAACACCUGCGUAUCCAAUUCCAGACAUGUAACAAAGAAGAUGAAGAUUUUUGGACAAAUCAGUGAAUGUUUCCCUGCCUGUUAAACUUAUAAUACACUUGGAAAGGGAUAUGGAUUUGACACAUAGAAAACAGUUACUUGUGUGUCACAAAUCAGAAGGAUUUCCCUUUAUCUUAGUAUGGGGGAUCUGUAAUAUGGAUGGAUCGUGUGCAUUUUUGCUUACCUGCCAGUAUUCUGUGUUCACAGGAAAAAUGGCUGUAUAGUAACCCCACAAGGCAGGUUCAGGCUUUGUACCCACAUGCAUCUUCUCAUCUGCCCAAUGAAUAUUGUGUUGUGCAUUUUAACCUUCAUUGAUUGGGGCUCAGGGCUGGAGAGAAGGGAAGGUUUUUGAUGUGCAUGUGCCAGUGGGUGCACUGAGUAUACAGCCUUAUUGCCAUGAUGGAGGUGCCCAGAAUGACCAUUAUAAACAGAAUCUCCAUCCUGUUACCCAGUGUAAGAAUGCUUGGUGCAGGAGCCAUGCCCGCUGGAGGACUGUGUCUCUCACCCACAGGUCUUUUCUUACCCAUCAUCCCCUUUGGACUUAAAAUGCUGCAUAGUUAAAGUCCAGAAAGGCUUCAUCGAUCUCGCUUGCCAUCUCAGCAGGGGGUCCUUUGGGCUGGGUCAGAUUCGCUGACAGUUUGGUGAACUCCUCAUCGAAAUACCCCACAUCCUCCGGUCCAUUUAGGCUGGGUACGAACGGAGCUGUUACGUUCUUCUCGAUAAUAUCAUCCCAGACAAUGCCCUGCAAAAUAGGCACCAUAGCAAAUGCUCAUUAUUAGAGUUUCAUCAUUAGAAGCUGAGGAUAUGAAAGGACUGUAACUCUUGGAUAAUUAUUUGAACAAUACAGAAAGGGGACUUACAUUAAAGAAUGGAUGUUCUGCUACAUCUGCGGCAUUCCCCGGGGUGGAACCUAGCCUCUCCUCAGGAUUCUUCUUCAACAGCUACAAGAAGUGAAAAUAGCCGUUACACUGAAGAAGCAGAAGCUUCAGGGAACUCAAGAGAAAGUGGUCUCUGAUUAUAAUAAACUGAAAGCUCAGCGCUACUUACCUGUGAUAUGAAGCUUACUGCUUCGGAGUCCAGGGAUGAGGGGUACUGUGGCUCAUCCUCCACGAUGGAAUCGUAUAUAAAGUCCCUGUCGUAUCCGGUGAAAGCCUCCUCUACUGUCAUCUCUUCAGCCUGAGAAUCCUCUGGAAUGGGGCUGUAAUCGCCGGGGAGAGGACCCAUCGAUGUUUCAGAAGAGUCUUCUGCAUUCUCAGGAACUUCACUAUUGGGAAGAGGUCAUUGAGAUUCUGCCUCUUCCCCAGCUUCCUCAUUUGUAUCUUCUACAGGUUCCUCAGAUGAUUCUUCAUGUUGAUGCUGCAAACAAGAGACAGGCAAUUAUUGAAUGUGGCUUUACAUGGAUAUGAUAAGGGCAGUGUUUGUGUCCAAGAAAUGAAUGGCGUCAAUGUAAAAUAC